This 490-nucleotide ribosomal RNA is filed under the name Panacagrimonas sp. RNAcentral describes it as "bacterial SSU rRNA". It matches the Rfam family "Bacterial small subunit ribosomal RNA", at positions 419 to 902 of the family's 1533-position model. Lineage: Bacteria; Pseudomonadati; Pseudomonadota; Gammaproteobacteria; Nevskiales; Nevskiaceae. The record is from RNAcentral.
CGGGUUGUAAAGCACUUUGAUCUGGGAAGAAAAAGCUUUGGCUAAUAUCCAAAGCCUUGACGGUACCAGAGGAACAAGCACCGGCUAACUCUGUGCCAGCAGCCGCGGUAAUACAGAGGGUGCUAGCGUUAAUCGGAUUUACUGGGCGUAAAGCGUGUGUAGGCGGUUCGUUAAGUCGGAUGUGAAAGCCCUGGGCUCAACCUGGGAAUUGCACUCGAUACUGGCGGGCUAGAGUACGGUAGAGGGCGGCGGAAUUCCGGGUGUAGCGGUGAAAUGCGUAGAUAUCCGGAGGAACACCGAUGGCGAAGGCAACCGCCUGGGCCUGUACUGACGCUGAGACACGAAAGCGUGGGGAGCAAACAGGAUUAGAUACCCUGGUAGUCCACGCCGUAAACGAUGAGAACUUGACGUCGGUUUGCUCUGCGAAUCGGUGUCGAAGCUAACGCGCUAAGUUCUCCGCCUGGGGAGUACGGCCGCAAGGUUGAAACCC